This 440-nucleotide ribosomal RNA is filed under the name uncultured bacterium. Its description in RNAcentral is "partial 16S ribosomal RNA". It matches the Rfam family "Bacterial small subunit ribosomal RNA", at positions 338 to 795 of the family's 1533-position model. The record is from RNAcentral.
CCUACGGGGUGCAGCAGUGGGGAAUAUUGCACAAUGGGGGAAACCCUGAUGCAGCGACGCCGCGUGAGUGAAGAAGUAUUUCGGUAUGUAAAGCUUUAUCAGCAGGGAAGAAAAUGACGGUACCUGAUUAAGAAGCCCCGUCUAACUACGUGCCAGCAGCCGCGGUAAUACGUAGGGGGCAAGCGUUAUCCGGAUUUACUGGGUGUAAAGGGAGCGUAGACGGUGAUGCAAGUCAGAUGUGAAAGGCCGGGGCUCAACCGUGAAACUGCAUUUGAAACUGUUUUUCUUGAGUGCUGGAGAGGCAAGCGGAAUUCCGUGUGUAGCGGUGAAAUGCGUAGAUAUACGGAGGAACACCAGUGGCGAAGGCAGAUUGCUGGACAGUAACUGACGCUGAGGCGCGAAAGCGUGGGUAGCAAACAGGAUUAGAUACCCUAGUAGUC